AUACGGAGGAUCCAAGCGUUAUCCGGAAUCAUUGGGUUUAAAGGGUCCGUAGGUGGAUAAUUAAGUCAGAGGUGAAAUCCUGCAGCUCAACUGUAGCAUUGCCUUUGAUACUGGUUAUCUUGAGUUAUUAUGAAGUAGUUAGAAUAUGUAGUGUAGCGGUGAAAUGCAUAGAUAUUACAUAGAAUACCGAUUGCGAAGGCAGAUUACUAAUAAUAUACUGACACUGAGGGACGAAAGCGUGGGGAGCGAACAGGAUUAGAAACCCUAGUAGUCC
Molecule: ribosomal RNA, 274 nt
Filed under: uncultured bacterium
Lineage: Bacteria
Description: partial 16S ribosomal RNA
Rfam family: Bacterial small subunit ribosomal RNA
Source: RNAcentral